Molecule: ribosomal RNA, 494 nt
Filed under: uncultured bacterium
Lineage: Bacteria
Description: partial 16S ribosomal RNA
Rfam family: Bacterial small subunit ribosomal RNA
Source: RNAcentral
GACGAACGCUGGCGGCGCGCUUAACACAUGCCAGUCGAACGGAAAGGCCUGCUUUCCCUUGUGGAUUGCGGGUACUCGAGUGGCGAACGGGUGAGUAACACGUGAGUGAUCUGCCCCCAACUUGGGUAUAAGCCUGGGAAACUGGGUCUAAUUCCCGAUAGGACUGCAGGGUGGUGCCUGUGGUGGAAAACGAUUUUCUAGUGGUUGGGGAUGAGCUCGCGGCCUAUCAGCUUGUUGGUGGGGUAAUGGCCUACCAAGGCGGCGACGGGUAGCCGGCCUGGGAGGGUGGACGGCCACAUUGGGACUGAGAUACGGCCCAGACUCCUACGGGAGGCAGCAGUGGGGAAUAUUGCACAAUGGGCGGAAGCCUGAUGCAGCGACGCCGCAUGGGGGAUGACGGGCUUCGGGUUGUAAACUCCUUUCGACCGCGAGGAAGCCACCUGGUUGGAAGGGUGGUGACGGUAGUGGUAGAAGAAGCACCGGCUAACUACGUG